This is a long non-coding RNA of Hyla sarda, 887 nucleotides long. RefSeq lists it as uncharacterized. NCBI's taxonomy places the organism in Eukaryota, Metazoa, Chordata, Amphibia, Anura, Hylidae. The transcript is spliced from 4 exons. The record is from RefSeq and is a predicted model, not a curated record.
AAUAGUUCUGCGCAAAGAAGAAAUGGCAGAUUCGAAGAAAACUAAGAGGACCUGGCAGGUUUCCUAAAAUAGGAAGGAACAACCAUAUUCAUAAGGAGGGCGUAUGUUAUGAGGAAGCGAGGGUACACUUGGGUGCAUCAAGCCAGCUCAUUGGUAUAUAUGCAGAAAAACAGCCAUAACUGAGGAAUGAAGCCAUGGAUCACAAUACAGUAAAGCUCGUCAUUGUCACCAGUGUCACCUGCAAUACAAGCCUAUAUCAACAGCUUCGCUACUCUGCCACCUUUCACAACUGCCUGUAGGAAGAGAGCAAAGCCGCAGCAGACAUUUGGAGGUAUCAUUCAUGACAGUUUAACCUGUCUAAGAAGCAAGAAGACAAGUCGACAACACAAAGCGGGAUUGACCAGAAAUGGACCAGAAAUGAAACAGGAUGAUAAAGAGUCCUUCACAACCCUGAGACUUUUCAGGCAUGGCUGGAGCCAAGGGGUUUAGUGCUCACUGUUACUUAACCUUUAUAAGGACUGGAAACCUGUGACCCACAGCUAGAGCAGUGAGACACAGGAGCGGAGCAUCGGCCAGGAAGAAGACACUGGACAUCCAGAGAGGCGAGCCAUAAACUCUUUGCUUUUAUUUCAGUUCACAUUCAAUGGUACUAAUCUUUGGCAUUUCAGACUAAAAUAAGUGACAUGGCACUUUUUUGUAUGACAAAUCUUUUUUCGGGGUGCAGACAAAAUCCUAAAAUAAAUGUCCAUUGCUGGAAAACAGGUCAGUAGAAAUCUCACACACGUGUGUGGGAUGAGGCUAGCCAUCAAAUUGAUUUAGAUUUCAGAACAGAAAUGCAUUCAGUGUAAAUGGGUCCGGUAGCUGCAGCAAAUACACAAACAAUCUGC